RNAcentral lists this long non-coding RNA (247 nucleotides) under Elaeis guineensis (African oil palm). Its description in RNAcentral is "long non-coding RNA (EGUI_LNC018871)". The record is from RNAcentral. Lineage: Eukaryota; Viridiplantae; Streptophyta; Magnoliopsida; Arecales; Arecaceae.
UCGAUUAUUCUGUAAGGUCCUUCUCAAUUCAGAGAUAAUUUUUUCUGAUCCAAAGAUUUUGAAACUUCAACUUUCUUAGGAUCAGAUCUCCUAGAUGAAAGAUCUUCGGCUUAACUUUUACAUUAUAAUAUCGGGUUACUCUUUGUCGAUAUACUGCCAUCCGAACUUGAGCUUGCUGUCGGACUUCUAAAAGCAAGUCUAAAUCAGCUCUCCGAUAUUCUGAAUUGCUCGGCUCACUGUAUUGCUC